This 663-nucleotide ribosomal RNA is filed under the name Macrobrachium gracilirostre. Its description in RNAcentral is "bacterial SSU rRNA". It matches the Rfam family "Eukaryotic small subunit ribosomal RNA", at positions 549 to 1189 of the family's 1831-position model. Lineage: Eukaryota; Metazoa; Arthropoda; Malacostraca; Decapoda; Palaemonidae. The record is from RNAcentral.
AUUGGAGGGCAAGUCUKGUGCCAGCAGCCGCGGUAAUUCCAGCUCCAAUAGCGUAUAUUAAAGUUGUUGCGGUUAAAAAGCUCGUAGUUGGAGGUCAGUUGCGGACUGGUGGUGGAGGUCACCGCCCGGUGCUUCCCCGCCAGGCUCCGAACAGCUUCCGUGAGUGGAAGCCAAGCCGGUGUUGCGGGGUGCUCUUGACCGAGUGUCCCGCGUGGCCGGCCAGUUCACCUUGAAUAAAUGAGAGUGCUCAAAGCAGGCUACUCUGGAAUACAAUGCCCGAAUGUUACCUGCAUGGAAUGAUGGAAGAUGAUCUCGGUUCCAUUUUGUCGGUGGUGGGAGCCAGAGGUAAUGAUAAAGAGGGACUGUCGGGGGCAUCCGUACUACGACGCGAGAGGUGAAAUUCAGUGACCGUCGUAGGACGAACAACAGCGAAAGCAUUUGCCAAGAAUGUCUUCGUUGAUCAAGAACGAAAGUUAGAGGAUCGAAGGCGAUCAGAUACCGCCCUAGUUCUAACCCUAAACGAUGCUGACUAGCAAUUCGCCUAUGUUAUUCCCAUGACGUGGCGAGACGCCCCCGGGAAACCUCAAGUGUUUGAGUUCCGGGGGUAGUAUGGUUGCAAAAGUGAAACUUAAAGGAAUUGACGGAAGGGCACCACCAUGAGUG